This 500-nucleotide long non-coding RNA is filed under the name Gallus gallus (chicken). The record is from RNAcentral. Lineage: Eukaryota; Metazoa; Chordata; Aves; Galliformes; Phasianidae.
GGGGUCGGGAAGGGGGGGGGCCCUGAGGCGUGGGAGGGGGCGUCCCCGUGGCGGGGCUCCCCCUGAACCCCUCGUUGGUGGGCUCGGCCACAAGCGGAGGUCGCAGGGGGCGUCCCCCAUUUGGGGGGGGGGGGGGGGUGUUUGGGGGGGGGGUCCCACGGCAGCGUUCCCCCCCAGGGGCGUCACUGGGGCAGCCCCUCGGGGCCCCCCCCCUCCAGGCCCCUCUGCUGCAGCUGCGCCCGCAGUACGGCGUUCUCACUCUGCAGUUCCUCCACCUGCUGGCGCAGCAGGUCGUUGUCCAUUUGCAGGCGCUCCGCCUCCUUGAAGGUCUCCUGCAGGCGUUGGUUGCUCUGCCGCAGCUCCCGCACGUAAUCGCACGCCUUCGAUAGGAUCCCACCUUUGCUCGCCCCCGUCUUGCUGUUGUCGGCGUUGCAGUCGGGGAUGAUUUUGGACAGCUGCACGAUCCAGUUGUUGAUUUUAUCCCUCCUGCGCCGCUCCAC